Molecule: ribosomal RNA, 474 nt
Filed under: Filifactor villosus
Lineage: Bacteria; Bacillati; Bacillota; Clostridia; Peptostreptococcales; Filifactoraceae
Description: bacterial SSU rRNA
Rfam family: Bacterial small subunit ribosomal RNA
Source: RNAcentral
GAGUUUGAUCCUGGCUCAGGAUGAACGCUGGCGGCGUGCUUAACACAUGCAAGUCGAACGGGCGAAUUAUAUCGGAGGUCUUCGGGCCAAAGAGAUAAUAAGCUAGUGGCGGACGGGUGCGUAACGUGUGGGUAAUCUGCCUUUGUCAUAGGAAUAACUGCUUGAAAAAGUAGCUAAUACCAAAUAACAUAUCGUAUAGGCAUCUAUAAGAUAUCAAAGAGAAAUCGGACAAAGAUGAGCCCGCAUCUGAUUAGCUGGUUGGUAGGGUAAAAGCCUACCAAGGCGACGAUCAGUAGCCGGCCUGAGAGGGUGAACGGCCACAUUGGAACUGAGACACGGUCCAAACUCCUACGGGAGGCAGCAGUGGGGAAUAUUGCACAAUGGGGGGAACCCUGAUGCAGCAACGCCGCGUGAGUGAAGAAGGCUUUCGAGUCGUAAAACUCUGUUGUAAGGGAAGAUAAUGACGGUACCUAA